This 439-nucleotide unclassified non-coding RNA is filed under the name Hevea brasiliensis (rubber tree). The record is from RNAcentral. Lineage: Eukaryota; Viridiplantae; Streptophyta; Magnoliopsida; Malpighiales; Euphorbiaceae.
AAAAAAAAAAAAAAUUGUAUAGUUAUGAACAGUAGUCACUUGGUUGAAGGUGCGUGCACAGGUGGUCAUGUUUUCAUUAUUAACAGUAUCGUGAUUUUGCAAAGGGUUCUUGGCAUUCUCAGUCAUCGAGUCUGUACUUAUUCCUUCUUCCUUGUUUUUGGACUCAAGGAUCCUUUUGAUCUUUCACCCAAGAACUUAUGGAAUGUCUGAAUCUGGCCUAAAGAGGGUUGUACUUAUUUUGUAUACUUUGAAGUAACCUUUUGUAAUUUUUUUUAAUAUAUUAAUAUUUUUAUGCUAUAACCUUAUAUUAUUUGUGCUUUCUAACAUCCACUGGUGCAUGUGCUGGGUGGUGUGUCUUACUUCAAUGUAGUUCAGUUAUUUUGUACUGUAAACUGCACCCUACCCUUUUCUUAAUAUUUUUUUUUUUUUUUUUUUUUUU